ACAGCUAAUUUACACUGAUUAAGGAAUUUACACUAAUUGAAGGAUUCUAACAAGGUAUAUAAGCAAUAUUUGUUCCACAUCCCUAGAAUUGACAAAUCUUCUACAGUGCUGUUACGCUUGCAGUAAUAAUUUCCUAAAUAAAAUUCCAAGAAAAAGGCAUAAGAACGGCUAAAAUUUAAAAAUGUGGAAUAAAAUUGGUUAAUUUCUUUUGUAGUUGCUGAACUUAUAACAAAAUCCCAUUAAUUUAAAUCACUAAGCUUUCAAUUUAAUUUCUGUUUCUCUCUUCAAAAUCAAAGAAAUCAAUUUCAAUUUUUGUUACAAUAUAAUCUUUAAACUAAAUUCCAAUCAAAGUCAAUAACCAUAUUGAACAUUUAAAAUAUAUUUUAAUUGCUUUAAAAAG
This 400-nucleotide unclassified non-coding RNA is filed under the name Hevea brasiliensis (rubber tree). The record is from RNAcentral. Lineage: Eukaryota; Viridiplantae; Streptophyta; Magnoliopsida; Malpighiales; Euphorbiaceae.